AGAUUGAACGCUGGCGGCAGGCCUAACACAUGCAAGUCGAGCGGUAGAGAGGUGCUUGCAUCUCUUGAGAGCGGCGGACGGGUGAGUAAUGCCUAGGAAUCUGCCUAGUGGUGGGGGAUAACGUUCGGAAACGGACGCUAAUACCGCAUACGUCCUACGGGAGAAAGCGGGGGACCUUCGGGCCUCGCGCCAUUAGAUGAGCCUAGGUCGGAUUAGCUAGUUGGUGAGGUAAUGGCUCACCAAGGCGACGAUCCGUAAC
Molecule: ribosomal RNA, 259 nt
Filed under: uncultured soil bacterium
Lineage: Bacteria
Description: partial 16S ribosomal RNA
Rfam family: Bacterial small subunit ribosomal RNA
Source: RNAcentral